This 468-nucleotide ribosomal RNA is filed under the name uncultured bacterium. Its description in RNAcentral is "partial 16S ribosomal RNA". It matches the Rfam family "Bacterial small subunit ribosomal RNA", at positions 28 to 507 of the family's 1533-position model. The record is from RNAcentral.
GACGAACGCUGGCGGCGUGCUUAACACAUGCAAGUCGAACGGAAAGGCCCUGCUUUUGUGGGGUGCUCGAGUGGCGAACGGGUGAGUAACACGUGAGUAACCUGACCUUGAAUUUGGGAUAACUUCAGGAAACUGGGGCUAAUACCGGCUAGGAGCUCCUGCUGCAAGGUGGGGGUUGGAAAGUUUCGGCGGUUGGGGAUGGACUCGCGGCUUAUCAGCUUGUUGGUGGGGUAGUGGCUUACCAAGGCUUUGACGGGUAGCCGGCCUGAGAGGGUGACCGGCCACAUUGGGACUGAGAUACGGCCCAGACUCCUACGGGAGGCAACAGUGGGGAAUAUUGCACAAUGGGCGGAAGCCUGAUGCAGCAACGCCGCGUGCGGGAUAACGGCCUUCGUGUUGUAAACCGCUUUCGCCUGUGACGAAGCGUGAGUGACGGUAAUGGGUAAAGAAGCACCGGCUAACUACGUG